UAAUCAGUGCCAGGGUCUCCCCACACCUCCCUUAUGCUCCAGUCUCUCCCUCACAUCCCAAAGCUUCAUCUUCACCACACCAACAGCUGAACUGAGGAGGAUUCCUCUACGAGGCUGUCUUACAGCUACAAUCCCUGGCUCAAGAUCUCCGCCAAUGACUCCGUUCUCUCCAACAAUGAGCAGAGCUUCUGCUUUCAGUAUUAGGACACACACAAUGUGGUCGUACUUUGGGGACUUUCUGGAGCCACCAGUUUUCUCCACAAGUAAUGAGUCCCAGCAGUCAUGUGCCCAUUGAGACAAGGAAUCAGAAAUGGCAGUGACAGCAUUCCAGCCUUUCAAACACUACCAUAAAAGGCAGGGAUUUCCUCAAAUCUAAAUUUAAAAGACAGGAACCCAUAAACAAAGUAUGUGAAUUUAGUUCAGGUGUAGGAAUUUGCAACAGUCACAGUGUCUUAAUGAUGCUCUAAUGUUUCAUUAUGGAGCACUUUUUUUUUUAAACUGAUAUAGCAGAUAGAUUUAAUCAAUUUAAUUAUAGCUGCUGGUAUACCCAGCCAAGAUUCAUCCUAAAAACAACUGCACAGCUCUGCCCAGACACUCCAUUUAAAGCACUUCACCUCUGAUCCACAGAGCUCCUCUGGCAACCAGAAAGAGAUGUCCAGCUGCAGGGCUCAAGGAAUGCCCACCAUGCAGAGGAGGUAAGGGGAAAUGAGAAACAUCUCCAGUCAAAGCAGAUGGGAGACAUGCUGGGAAAUGUGCAGCUUUCACAGCAGGAGGCCAAUUUUCCUGAGGUAAGCACAAGCAUUUUGGAAUGGCCAAAAGCCACAAGUAACCCAGUUGUGGGCUUUCAGGGGGCAGCAAGGAACAGAAAGCUCAUGUGGAAGGAGCAGACAAGUGGAGAGAAGCAGCCAGGGAAGCUACCAGAUCCACACCAGGCUGAAUGACUCCGGGCACAGGAUGUGUCCCAGGACUUGGUGCAUGUCCUGUGAAUCAAGAUGAUGACCUGCCUUACUCCUUUAAUUAUGUGUCUAGAUCUAGUAAAGGUUGUCAGUUGAUCUCCUUGACUCCUCUACACCUUCAGCCACAGAGGGAAAGAAUCAACGCACACACACACACACAAAAAAAAAAAAAAAAAUAACCCCUUCUCUCCCUUCUCUUCUUCUUUUUUAAUUUAAGCUUCCAAAUCCCUAAUUUGUUCCAAGAGGUUUUUUUGUAGUUUUUUUUUGUUUCUGUUUUUUUCUGUUCCUGACUCACAAGAUCAGGGGGCCAAGUGACGACUACAGACACCCAGAGUGCAUCUCAUCUUCAUUUCCAGACUUUGCUGUUGAAGGAAGUGGGGGGGGAGGGGGGGAAUAAAAUAUAAACAAGUAGAAGAUAAUGUGCCAGACACACUCUCCCUUGGGAGACCAUCACCCUCUUCCCACAUUAGGUGGGGCUUUUGCUGCACUGUUUCAGGCUAGAAAUCUUGCUUUGCACACAGCCUGCCAUCCACACAGGCACUGUCAGGCAGACACAGAACACGACUCAGCCCGGACGGAGCAGAACAAAAGCUUCCAGUCUCUUUUGUCCAGCUAUUUAGGCAGUCCUUGAAUGCCAUACAAGUGUUUAGACAGUAUAUAGCAUUUAUGCUCUGAAACACAAUUAAACAGACAAUUAGAAAAUAAAGAUUAAAUUUUAAAAAACCUACUCUAACAAGUAAAUAAUAUUUUUUUUUGGCGAGUUGCUCAAAAUGGAGAGGAGACGCGAGCAGCAGCCCCGGCCACCGGCUGCUGAUGCGACAGUUCUGGGUACUUAUUGAAAACAUCUGGAAGCUCUGAGCCACUUUGUGCAGCCAGGAGUUUGAAACAAUCCAAUCAUUUCAUAUCCAAACCCAAGUCCAGCGCUGCGGAUUUCAAGGGAAGGGAAAGAGGGGGAAGAAAAAAAAGAACAACCGCACUUGAUCACGCCAUAUGAUCUGUAACUCAUCCAGAUAAAACUCCUCCUCCUCCUCCACCCGCUAACAGACCUCUUAAUGACAAGGAAAUCAUGGUUAUCCUGAAACAGACUGAACUAUUGUUAUCUGUUUCAAAUUACUUUUGCCAUAUCGUUAUGAAACACUGCAAUGAUGCAAUCUGCAGAAAUACUCAGGCGCAUUAACUUUUUAAACUGCAACUCUGAUAGGAACAGAUGAAAGGAAAAAAAUUCUCCUGUUUUAAGCAAGGCAAUACCCACUUCUGGGCACUAAAAUGAGGUGAUAAUAAAUUCAUCAGACAGUAAGAGAGAAGAAUUAUAAUUUCAAUUGCUCUUUUCUUAAAAGAAAGCAGCUUUUUGGGAAGGCUUUUUAAAAUUUUACAUUUUUGGCUCUUGCAAGGAUAGACAAAACAAAUAGUUUUUUUCCUAAAACUAAAUAAGGCAAAGGAAAUCUGUACUCUAAUGCUGCAAAGCCUGUAAGAGGAGCACGUCCAGUCUGGAAAGGAGAGCACAUCCAUCCUGUCUGCUGGGAGGGAGGUCAGCACCCACGUGAGACCAGACCACAAGGGACACUCAAAUGUGGAUUCUGAAGCAGACCAGGCUGCUGUUGACCACAGCAAGCACUCACACCAUGGAUCUUGGUCAAGAGCCCUGGAAAUCUCAUGGCAUUUCUCACGUUUGCGGGAGCACUGCAACACUGAGAGGAGUUUAGUGGCUGACCCAGUCCCACUGUGCCUCUCUGUCUGCAUCCCUGUGUGGUGGUGGCACUUCUGUCCUGAGCUUCAUCCCUCUGGUACGAUCCACCAGUGUCCCACCAAGCUAGAAGUGGCUCCAAAAGGCUGGCUGUGAUUUUGAAUUCCCUUACGAGGUAGGCCAUGGAAAGAAAAGGAGUCACAGAGAGGGACAUGGACAGUCCCCCAUCACCUGUGGCAAAUCCAAGGGGGAAGGUCAGUGAUGCAGCAACAAACCUUCACAAUCCUGGUUCUAAAACACCUCCAUAUUCAUCACUUUGAUUUAUUCCUAGGGAAAAAUCAUCUACAGUACCAACACAAGUUUUAUUCUUCAGCCUGGGACUCUCCCAAAACUUCCCUAUUUAAAUCAUAUAUUCACACCAAGGUCUGCAGAGAGGCAUUUCCUCAUGGAGCAAUGCUUUGGGACAACACGACUGGGCUGAAUUUAACAUCAAACAAUCCACUGUCCAGCUGCAGCCUGUGUUUGAGCUCAGACAGAACCAGACAGAAACAGCUAAAGAGCCAUGAGGGAAUGAGGAGGGCUUGGAAAGCUGUCAGGCACAGAUACAUGGAGCAUGUGUUUUGAGAAAACACAAAAACACCUUGAGAGACCUUCAGCCACUUCCUGACAUUCCCUUUUUCUAAUAUUUCUCAGAGACUCGGUGUACAUUUUUCAGGAAUUUCUAUUGUCCAAAUAACCUUCAGAAAAAUGCUGAAGCUUUGGUCAGCCACGGAGCAUGCCUGAACAUCCUUCCAGAGGAAGUAAACUGCCCAUCUUACAGCUCCCAAAUGGCUACAGGAGAAACACAACCCACUCAAGAGAUUAGCAACCCCUCAGCUGACUCUACAUCACUUUGCAAGAUCUGCUUCUUCCUUUACCAAAAAUAACUGCAGUUGGGAUGUCUAGCUGGCUGAAGUGCUGUGGGAUCUUGGACCAGCCCACAGAUAUUUAUUUAGCGUGUUAUGGGAGUUGAGAGAAAUACUUCUGCUGUCAAGCACUGGACAUGUUGCUUUGCCUUGUGAGUUUCAACAUCCUGAAAAUAGGGAAGGGAAAACAUGAGUGGAAAAAGCAGGAACAGUCCCAAAAGAGGCUGUCAAGGAGCACCUGAGCUAUGAACUGCAGCAACAAAUCAGCUGCACGUCGCCUGUGUCCUCCUGUCAGCUGCUCCUGUGCUCCAGGCACUUCCCACCAGGGCACGGGGUCUAAUGACUUACAGAUUGGGUCAAACACCAAAAAAUGAGGACUUUUGUAAAUAAUAAUACAAUUUGCAACCAAAACAAGUGGAUGGAGGAUAAUGCUUUGAUUUCACAGCUGGCACAGCCCAGCCUGGAGCUGCUGCUGAAGAAAUGACGCUCACUUCUCUGAUCUCAUCCAACACCAAAGUUGGUCACAAUGGAUUUGCUUAUGUUUUCCUUUAUGGUUUUCAGUUGCUGCCAAUAAACAUGUAAAUUUUACAUGCACACAAUGAGUGAUAAUCUUUGCUAAUUACUGUUAUUCUCCUAUAAAGGAAGGAUUACAGUUUUGGGGAUCUGGAAAGAUAAUCACAUAAAUAAAAGUAUUUAAAAUAGCAAAUUGCAUUUACAGGAGUUUUUAAACCACCAUAAACAUUGUACAAGUCACUUGAAAUUGGUUUGCACAGACCAUCCCUCAAAUACCUGAAGGCCUGCUCAAGCCCAAUCAAGCAAUGUCUAAUAAUUUGUCCUACAGAGAAGUUAAGGAAGAGACCAUUGCAUUUGUCUCAAAUGCAAGAAAAAGGGGAUGUUUCAUUAUCUGUAAAGCUUACAAAUUCAAAAAUCAAAGGACUUUUCCAUUUUUAUAUAAUCCAUAAUGUAAAGGCAUAUUUUGACAUGAUUGGGGAUAGAUAUAGGAUAUAAGAAAGUACUGAUUUAUACAACUGAAAACACAAUAGUAACACAUUCUAGAAAGACUGAAUCUCUACAGUUCAAGAUAUGAGGUUAAAAAUUAGUUCAGUUUUUGUGCAGGAAAACAAAGCACCUCACAUUUCCAGAGUGCAGUAAAACAUCCCUGGGCUCUGAAAUGAUCCCUGCUGCUGUGGGCAGGGCACAGGAGCAGGCAGACAUCAUCUGAGCCUCUCCAGGAAGCCUCAGCACAACACGAGAUCAGUGCCAUGAAAUGCCUGGUGGAUGGUUCUAGCUGAUGAAUUAUGUCUUCAGCUAAAAACAGAGACAGGGUAGCAGAUUAUGUAGAUGAAUUGGCAGAUAAAGCCCAACAAAAAUGACGUAUGGCAUGAGUGAGUGAAAUUAAUGGACAAUAUAAAAAUGACACAUCUUGAACUGAGGAAAUUAUUCAGCUUUUACCAUUCUUUCAUGCCUACAGUUUAAGGCACUGUAAUCUAACUGAAAAACAGAGACGGGUCAUUCAAAUGAAUAAAUCAUGCCAGAAAAUGAUUCAGUUUCCCUUCUUUUAUUUUUUCUUUUUUUUUUUUUUCCUUUUUAACUGAAGUCCCCAGGACCCAGCCCUUCGGAAGCCCGCACGACCCAGUGUAUUGUCCUGGCCAGGCACCCUGUCAAAAGGGAAAAAGUUAUCUUUUCUUUCAUCUUGUAACUGAAAAUCUGGGAGGGGAAGCACUGGGAAAGCAGAGUGCUGUACAAAGGCACCCAUCAUAUUCCCUGUCAGCUUUUUUGCUUGGCUGCUAAUGAAGGCAGUGGAUUGAGGACUCUGUGGCAUUUGUUUUGCCCUUCCAAUUUUCCUGUUUGCUUUGUGGGAAGGAGGAUCUCAGCCCCAACAGGUAACUGAGAUGCUCUGAGUGCAGCCAAGCCCCUCUCCCAGCAGUAACAGCCACUCCAGAUCACCCUCUUACCUACACCCUCAUUCAACCAGUAUUUUUGUGCCCUCUUUCCAUGCAUUUGGAAACCUGAAAUGAAAUCCAAUGCAAACUUUGAGAGGAGGCAUUUGGAAUCCAGCUCCUGCCUGGGAGGUCUGCUUUAGGACCACAUGAGUAUUCCUUUGCUCACUGUUUUAUCCGUUUCCCUGGUAGUCCUCUGUAAAGAAUAUUAAACAAACAUGUCUUUACAGCUCAAGAGCCCAGGAGAGAAUGUUGACCCUGUGGAAAAAACCCUGGUUUUAUCCAUUUUUACCCCACUUUCAUCCCUCUGGACUAAGGAUGUAUAUACAAGGGUAAGGAUUCAUUGGGCCCACAAAGCCAUCAUUAAGGAUUGCUACAUCAAUCCAUGCUGAGUAUAUUCUCCCCUACAGCCCGAUUUUAGAAAGUGUUCUUAAAGGAAUUUCAGGGCAUAAAACAUGUAUAAUUUCAGCCAGAUACGUGGAAGCAUCAUCAUUAGUAAGGAAUUUUCUCAACAGUUGAUGCUGCUGCAGAAAAAUAAUAAAAUAUUUAUUCUAAGGUUAUAAACUAACAUAUCCUACACCUCUAGCAGCUUUUCAAAGACCCCUCUACAGUAACAUUUGUUGUUGCAGGGUUAAAUCCUAACUGGAAUAAUGGGUCCCAAGCCCUGCUCCUGUGCCUCUCCACUCAGUUAAAGCAAGGGAAUGUCCCUGCAAACAUGGGAAUGUCGGGCCAAUACAGGUGCUUUAGCAAAGUUUUAGUUGCUGAGUUUUUGUGCUUCCCUCUCUCAUUCCCCACCUGCCAGAGAUUAUGCAUUUCCAUAUCUUUGACAGCUUUUUUCAAUAGAUAAAUACAUUUAAGACAAGGGAUGAUGAUAAAUGGCACCAAAAAUGUCAAAAAGCAGCAUUUAUUAUAUCCUGCAAUUUCCCUGAGUUAUCCUUCUGAUUUGGACUGUCCCAGGAGCUGCAAAUUGCUGUGCUGCAGAUAAGGAAAAUGGAGCAUCUGAGAUUUCUCGCCAGUGACUACAAGGAAAGGGUUGGUUUUGUUUUUUUAGGAAGAAAGAGGAAAAUGUUCUGAAGCUUUCUCUUCAGGCUAAAAUCCAAAACAUUUACAAGACUCAAGAGCACAAAAGCUUGCAGAUAACCAGCAGAACUGAUGCCAGUUCCAUCAAAGAAAACAGCUAACAGCAACUGGGAGGAAUGCAGAUUAUGCAGCAUCCCUCUCUAUUGAAAAAAAAAAUCUGUUAUACAACAGUUAAAUAAUUUAACUACUUCAAGUUAUUAUUCUUCAGUUAGUCUUUUUUGGCUAUCAUGCAGCACUAGUCUCUUCUGUUUCUGAAGUUUGCCUUUAGGAGAAAAAAAAGGCAACUUCAAAACAUGCAAAAAUUAAUGAAACCCAUAUGUGGGAUACUGUCAUUAUUCCAUGUUUAUAAGAGGAUCAGGUUUUCUUAAAUGGGCUUACUUAAUGCAGACGCAUAAGCAAAAAUACCCAGCAAAAGAUCUGAAAGCUAUUGAAAGCAAAAUAUUUUCACAAUUUAAACUAAAAGCCACUAUAUAUUUUGGUGCAACUUUGUUUAUGGCUUCUCUGACAGCUUAUAAAGUUCUCCUAACCAGAGAAACAUCUCCUAGAUAAGAUUUUACCUUUUUGACUUUCACCUUCAUAUUGCAUUUAAGCUGGGCCAACCUAAAAAUCAAUGGCUUAUGGAAACAUCGGUUGAUGCAGGCACAUAAUUUUGACUUUUUUCAACAGCUGUUGUUAUUUUAUGCUCUAUUUUGGCUAGGCAAGUUGGUAAGACUGGAAGGAAAUAAAAGUUGGGCUCCUUUCCUGGCUUUGGUGUCUUUUUAGUGGCUGCAAUCAGCACCUCGUUCCCUCCCCUGCACUGGGAGUUUGGGGGGGAUAAAGGCUGAUUGCCCCCCACAUCUGGUCUUGCCCACCAGACUCAGACAAGAAAUAAAGGAAAUACAUCUCACUAAAUACUGGCUUAAAAUACCCACUGCUGUUGCUGCUUUCUGCCCAUACAAGGGACUAAAACACCCUCCACUGCCCGUCUUCCUGGCUCCCAUUUGCACCUCCAACAGCAAUCCACAAUAAACCCCAGGUUUGCCUUGCCUCCCCUCCUGCUAUUUCACUGCUGGGAUCCAGACAUCUGCCAACAUCCUCUGUAAAAGAUAACACACAAUAUAUUUUAAGAGUCAAGCUGCCACAAGAUAUUUGGUGCUUCAGACAGUGCUCCUUCCCAGACACAGAACACGCACUGCUCACAGGAAGGCUUGCAUAAAAACAGAAUGUACUUUUCUUGUGAAUCUAAUGACUGCCUAACAAAAAAAAAAAAAAAACCAAAACGACAAAU
Molecule: long non-coding RNA, 7832 nt
Organism: Motacilla alba alba
Lineage: Eukaryota; Metazoa; Chordata; Aves; Passeriformes; Motacillidae
Exons: 2
Source: RefSeq, a predicted model, not a curated record